This 497-nucleotide ribosomal RNA is filed under the name uncultured bacterium. RNAcentral's name for it is "bacterial SSU rRNA". It matches the Rfam family "Bacterial small subunit ribosomal RNA", at positions 28 to 521 of the family's 1533-position model. The record is from RNAcentral.
GAUGAACGCUAGCUACAGGCUUAACACAUGCAAGUCGAGGGGCAGCACUAGGUAGCAAUACUGAGGUGGCGACCGGCGCACGGGUGCGUAACGCGUAUCCAACCUUCCCGAUACUCUUGGAUAGCCUUCCGAAAGGGAGAUUAAUACAAGAUGGUGUUUCACUUUCGCAUGUUACUGAAACUAAAGAUUUAUCGGUAUCGGAUGGGGAUGCGUGACAUUAGAUAGUAGGCGGGGUAACGGCCCACUAGUCUACGAUGUCUAGGGGUUCUGAGAGGAACGGUCCCCCACACUGGAACUGAGACACGGUCCAGACUCCUACGGGAGGCAGCAGUGAGGAAUAUUGGCAAUGGUCGGAAGACUGAACCAGCCAAGUAGCGUGAAGGAUGAAGGUUCUAUGGAUUGUAAACUUCUUUUAUACGGGAAUAAAACCUCCACGUGUGGAGCUUGUAUGUACCGUAUGAAUAAGCAUCGGNUAACUCCGUGCCAGCAGCCGCGGU